Molecule: non-coding RNA, 73 nt
Organism: Ciona savignyi (Pacific transparent sea squirt)
Lineage: Eukaryota; Metazoa; Chordata; Ascidiacea; Phlebobranchia; Cionidae
Source: Rfam
GGUCCUGUGGCCCAAUGGAUAAGGCGCCUGACUACGAAUCAGAAGAUUCCAGGUUCGAGUCCUGGCAGGAUCG